Molecule: unclassified non-coding RNA, 411 nt
Filed under: Basidiomycota sp.
Lineage: Eukaryota; Fungi; Basidiomycota
Description: partial contains small subunit ribosomal RNA, internal transcribed spacer 1, and 5.8S ribosomal RNA
Rfam family: Eukaryotic small subunit ribosomal RNA (bases 1-47)
Source: RNAcentral
AAAGUCGUAACAAGGUUUCCGUAGGUGAACCUGCGGAAGGAUCAUUAACACGUAUCCACGUUAAAUUCAACCACCACGAACUGUGCUCCCUAGUCGCCAACUUCUGCGCUGUCCGAUACAGGGUCUAAUGGAGUUGCAACAUUCGAUCUUCUGCGAGAGCUUGUUGUAGCAUACUUGUAUCCGACUAUCACUCCUCCGAGAGUGUGGCAAAGUAACCGGCAAUGACUAUGCUUAUUUUCAUCAAUCCAUUCACUCAACCAUUUUGAGUGUGUGGUGCGAUACCCAUACCUAAUUUCACCCUAUUUUACCUAUUUGACUAAUUUAUGAGUUUCGAUGGGAGAAAUCCUAUUGGAAUGACCUAAGAUUUAUCUUAACUAAGCACAACUCUUAGCAAUGGAUAUCUUGGUUCUC